This is a long non-coding RNA of Anolis carolinensis (green anole), 300 nucleotides long. RefSeq lists it as uncharacterized. The record is from RefSeq and is a predicted model, not a curated record. The transcript is spliced from 3 exons. Lineage: Eukaryota; Metazoa; Chordata; Lepidosauria; Squamata; Anolidae.
CACCUUUUUCCAAUGGUAACUCUUAACAGAAGUGGAUUUCCCUUUCUAGGGGUAGAUUUCCUCUCAGUUCCUGUUGUCUCACCCCAUCUGACCAAUGGCAACUCUUAGCAAAUGAGAAACAAAGUACAUUAGUAUGCCUGUUUGAGUUCUGUUGGCAGUUGAAGUUCGAAUAGACCUUCAGAUUCGUGGGAACUAUUUUGUCUUUUACUAGAAGAACAACAUGCACCUGUGGAGCUUGAGGUAAAAACAUACACUCAGAAUUCAAAAAUUCUAAUGAAAUGGUGCUCACAUUUCAUUCAC